This 245-nucleotide unclassified non-coding RNA is filed under the name Hevea brasiliensis (rubber tree). Lineage: Eukaryota; Viridiplantae; Streptophyta; Magnoliopsida; Malpighiales; Euphorbiaceae. The record is from RNAcentral.
UCAUAUGGAUGGUUUGUACAAGAAGCUAUUGCUGUCAUGUAUGAAUGUAGCCACCAAUCUUCAUAUGAGGGAAUAAAGUUUAAUUAUUAGUUUGGUUUGCUAAGUAUUGAAAUGGAUCUACCCAGCAUUUGUCGUCCUUUACAGCGUUUUUCCAUCUAUCCCGGAAGAUCUGCAUUUCAAAGUAGGACUGUCUUCUUACCUCUACUCUGUUAUCAACUACAUGGGACUCCGAUGGCUCAGCAAAA